UGGUCUUCGUUUUGACAACACGACUACGCUCACUAACAGUUUCAAGUACGCUCACAUGACGCUCAGUGCUGCUAUCAGCGUACUUGUAUUAAUUAGUAGAGGUCAGUGAAGUGUUUGAAUAUGCACAGGUACAGACAGACCUUGCACUGUGACGAAAUGAGGUCCUCAUUUUAUUACGGAACCCUAAAAACGUUAUUACCAUGGAAAGGUUUCGAUUGCAAUUUUUAUGAAAAAGAGGGUAUUUUUAGGUUUCACAAUUAACUAUGCAUUGUUAUUGUACAUCAUUUAUUAAAAUCGUUUUACUCCAAUUCACGUACAGUACCAUUUAUACAAAUAUAAUUCAAGAAUUAUUUUAAUAUAGCCGCAAUUAAACACGUAAAAACUUUCUUGAGGUAUACAAUUCAACCAGGAAUUGUUUACAAAGAAUAUUAUAACCCAGCGGUCGCCUCGAAUAGAAACUACACAAAAGCAAACGAAAAAUUAAAAUUUCAUUAGCAAUUUUCACUGGAAAAAAUUGCAUUACUUCUAAACUGUAUAUGUUAUUCUGGCUAAAAUUUGCUGUAAAUUAUGCUGAUAACUAUUAUCAAAUCAUAGUUUUGUCGGUUACAAGAUUUUAUCGAGUAAACUGCCCAAAACUGCUUACAUCGUUACUGGUAAUAUAAGAAUUUUAGCGGGUAAAGUAUGAAA
Maniola jurtina (meadow brown) is the source of this 687-nucleotide long non-coding RNA. RefSeq lists it as uncharacterized. Lineage: Eukaryota; Metazoa; Arthropoda; Insecta; Lepidoptera; Nymphalidae. The record is from RefSeq and is a predicted model, not a curated record. The transcript is spliced from 2 exons.